This 77-nucleotide small RNA is filed under the name Xanthomonas nasturtii. RNAcentral's name for it is "sX9 sRNA". It matches the Rfam family "Xanthomonas sRNA sX9". The record is from RNAcentral. Lineage: Bacteria; Pseudomonadati; Pseudomonadota; Gammaproteobacteria; Lysobacterales; Lysobacteraceae.
AUCUGCCGCGCCCACACUGCGGCCCUGAGCGCGCCGUCCACGCCCAUCGGGCCACUGCUCGCUACGUUUCGGGAGCC